AUGGCGGACGGAGAGAACAGUCUCGGAACGGCUUGUUCAGGCGCCUCCGGUAUGGACGGGCCUGCCGCGAAAAGGCCCAAAUUCAUCCCGGCGACGAGUUACGGAUUCCAAGGCGCCGAGGCGGACCAAUUCUCGUGCAUCUCCGCGGCCGCCGAGAGCUGGGAGGCGGCGGGGAAUUGUGCGCAGCCAGCGGAGAAGGAAGCGGAGCCGGUGAUGGCGGUAGAGCAGGCCCCGGCGGCGCUAGGCGGAGACAACAAUGGACUGGGACUGCUGGCUUCCGAGCCGCACAGACCAGCCGGGAAACGAAGCGACAGCGCUGUCUAUGGCGCAACCGAGGAGAGCGCAGAUUUCUUCGGUCUUGAUGGUCUGUCCUCCAACGGUCUGGCUGUCACGCCGGAGCACCUCAAUGAGGAAGAUGACAGAUCAUCACAUGCCAGCUCCAGCGACUGGACUCCUCAACCCCAAAUAGGUUCCUACAGUUUCAUCCAGCAACACAUCAGAGAGACCGACCCCAGGACCAUACUGAGGGAUUUGUUGCCUGAGACUAUACUACCACCAGAUUUAGAUGAUAUGACUCUGUGGCAAAUCAUCAUCAACAUAUCAGAACCUCCAAAAAGAAAGAAGCGCAAGGACAUUAACACGCUGGAGGAUGUGGUCCGACUGCUUCAUGAGAGUAAAAGGAUCCUCGUGCUGACUGGGGCUGGGGUUUCGGUUUCAUGUGGAAUACCAGAUUUCCGAUCCAGGGAUGGGAUUUAUGCGCGGCUCGCUGUAGAUUUUCCUGAUCUUCCAGAUCCUCAAUCUAUGUUUGAUAUCGAAUACUUCAGACGAGACCCUAGACCCUUUUUCAAGUUUGCUAAGGAGAUCUACCCCGGACAGUUCCAACCCUCACCCUGCCACAAAUUUAUAUCUAUGCUGGAUAAACAAGGGAAGCUGCUGCGCAACUACACACAGAACAUCGACACGCUAGAACAAGUGGCAGGAGUUCAGCGGAUCAUCCAGUGUCACGGGUCUUUUGCGACUGCGUCUUGUCUUGUCUGUAAACACAAAGUGGAUUGUGAAGCGAUAAGGGAAGACAUCUUCAACCAGGUCGUCCCUCACUGUCCACAGUGUCCAGAUAUUCCUCUGGCCAUCAUGAAGCCCGACAUCGUGUUUUUUGGAGAGAAUCUCCCUGAAAUGUUCCACAGAGCCAUGAAGCAGGAUAAAGAUGAAGUUGACCUCUUGAUUGUCAUCGGUUCCUCGCUUAAAGUCCGACCAGUUGCCCUUAUCCCAAACUCCAUUCCUCAUGAAGUGCCUCAGGUCCUGAUCAACAGGGAACAGCUGCCUCAUCUGAACUUUGACGUGGAGCUGCUGGGAGACUGCGACGUCAUCAUCAACGAGCUGUGCCACCGAUUGGGCGGAGACUUUGAGCAGCUCCGGUACAACACUGUAAGACUCACCGAGAUCACGGAGAAGCCGCCCCGGUUAGCGGAGCAGCCGCCCGGCGACGCCUUCCCCGUCUGCAGCGACGCGGCUCAGGAGGAGCAGAAGCAGCGCAGCACGGACUCCAUCUCGACGCCAUCGGAGGAGACGGACGGCCUGAAUGUCGCGGACGGCGAGGACCAGAAUGUCAGACCGCUCGAGCUCUGCCCCAACGCCCAGUGUCCAAGCGAGGCAACGGCAGAGUCGCCGCUUUCACCAGCAGAGGGCGCCCCAAAAGAGGAGGCAGCUCUUCCGAGGAGCCAUCCCUCCAACCUGGAGUUUCGAAGAAGAUACUGGAUGAGUCGAAUCAGCAGAAGCCCAAUCAGCAAGCGUCUGGAGGCGGGCCAGUAUCUGUUUCAAGCCCCAAACCAGUACAUCUUCCACGGGGCCGAGGUGUACUCCGACUCCGAGGACGAGACGUCGAGCUCCUGCGGGAGCGACAGCGAGGAGUCGGACUGCAGCGGCGAGGGAGCGGAGGACGACAGCGAGCCGGAGGACGCGGCCACACCAGCAGCCGAGGGAGAAAUGUGCCUCAGAGACACGAUAGCACACAGUUCAGCCAGCGAGGCCACUCCGAGUGUGCAGACAGACAAUAAGCUGGAACAGACUCAGAGCACGGCACACCUUUAAAAUGUACAAUACCCUGUCAAGAUAGCACUAAUUGUCUUUUUUAUAUAUAUAUAUAUCUAUAUUAUAUAUAUAUAUAUAUAUAUAUAUAUGUUUCAUAUAUUUUUGACUCAUCAUCCUCACUAUUAUUUUUUUAUUUUUUUCAUAAAUUGGAAUUGCGUGACAAUGUGUGAACAUGCAGCAGGUUUCUUUUGCCCCUUUUCUUUCUGUGGCCUCUCGCUGUCUGAACCUGCAUACUGUUGACUGCUUGGUAACCUGAAUAUUGCAGUUCAUUUUUUCCUCUAGUUCGUCUCUAAAUUCCGGUGUCUAGUUCCUGCAGUCUCACCCUCAGCGCUUAAAGAUCAGCCACCACCAGCGCGGCGCUCGAUUCAGCUUUAAUUCCCAAAUCUCUCAUGAAUCGCAGGUCCACGCUGUGAUGGGACCUGGGAGGUGGUUUAUUUUCCCAUCAGCAACAUGUAAAUAUGUUAGCCUGCUGCCUGACGAAUAGUGGGUACUGUCAGUUUCAUACACGUUCAUCCAUCUUCAGAUGUUUUACUUGAAAGCGUUUUCUAACUCGCAAUACAGAAAGUUGAGCUCUGCCCUCCUUGCCAGGGCGACCGUGAAAGCAAAACAGAACAAUACUCUUUACGUUUAGACCAAAGAACACUUGAUCGACGCGCUCCUAUGUUGUCAUAAGCUUUGUAUGUUUAACCUGUCAUUCAAAUGGAAAAAAAAACAAAACAAAAAUACUAUUGACAAGGUGUUCCUUUCUGACAUGUGGCAGCUACUUUCUAUGGUCAAGCCUCUUAUUUUUAUACUCUGAUGUGAGACAUACUCAUCAAAGGGUAGAUGAUAGUUUUUAUCUGUAUAAAGUUAUACUGAGUUGUAAUAUUAAGCCUUAGGGAUAUAUUUGCAUUGGAAAUGGCACUUUUUUCUGCUUCAUAUAAAACCGGUUUUGUUGCCCGUGUAACUUUUUCUAGAGGGUGAAAGGAGUGCCGCCUGUAAAGAUAAAGUGUUGGUAUACAGAGACAUAUUUGAGCCAGUUUGUGUCUACACCAACGUAUUUCACAUGUCAUUUAGAAGGUAAUGUUUUGUUUACGGUUUAAGGAAAUGAGAAAUUUUUACAAUAAUACAGUUAUCUCUCCUGGGGUUCUCAGUAAAA
Molecule: RNA transcript, 3226 nt
Organism: Salarias fasciatus (jewelled blenny)
Lineage: Eukaryota; Metazoa; Chordata; Actinopteri; Blenniiformes; Blenniidae
Gene: sirt1
Gene name: sirtuin 1
Exons: 10
Source: RefSeq, a predicted model, not a curated record